Long non-coding RNA from Raphanus sativus (radish), 3696 nucleotides. RefSeq lists it as uncharacterized. NCBI's taxonomy places the organism in Eukaryota, Viridiplantae, Streptophyta, Magnoliopsida, Brassicales, Brassicaceae. The record is from RefSeq and is a predicted model, not a curated record. The transcript is spliced from 4 exons.
UGCUGAGGCUAAUUAGUGAUGAAUAGAGAGUGAAGUUAGCUACGUACCUGAACGUUUGUCGACAAUGUUGGGAAAAAGGAUGCUUCAAAGAAAUUAGGGGAUCACAUACAUGAAACAUCACAGUAAUUUUCAAGAAAAAUAGAAUAACUAGCGACCACUGCUUCUGAAGAAACCGCUUGCCGUUUACCGCAACUCUAAAUGACAUGCAGUCUCUAAGGAUAAGACUCGGUGGGCCAAACGACAACGUGUCGCUACAAACCGUUCUCCACCUGUCUAUCAAUUUGGGCCUGAGCUUGAAUGCAGAAGCCUAAUCUAGUCUCAGAUCAGCUUUAAAACUGCGUGCGGCUUUUGGUAAUAAAACGGACGGACACGUAGUUAAAACUAUUCAAACAUGGGACAACUAAAGAUGGCAUGCAGUGUUAAUACAAUAGAUACCAUCUUCUCCAUCUAAUACAAGAAAUUGUGUGGGUAGUUUUCUCCCGUUGAUGUUUGAGCUCAUUGCCUUGGAAUUGGGAGAAUACUGCUUGUGGCACUAGAAAAAGUGGAAAGGAGCUCAGCUUCAGGGUCAAGGGUUGGAGGUAGCAUUGCUUCAAUCCAGAAGAUUGCAGCUCCGGAGAUAGUCUAUGAAUGACAAAGAUCCCUGGGAAGAGUAGUUGAGCUCACGGGUUUACGAGGUUGCAUUGACCUGGGCAUACCACUUGAUGCUACGGUAGAGCGGGCUGCUCAGCAGUUCAGACAGAGAAGAUAUCGGUCAAAUAACCUGGUUUUGAUCGCAAGUGAACUACUGAAACUCCAAGCAACCGGUCUAUCUCAUCAUGCUGAUAAGGCACAGUGGAAAGGCAGGGGAGAUGCUUACAAGACUGUUUUCAGCUCUACUCAGACUUGGGAGUUAAUAAGAGAGGUGAGUCCGACAGUAACAUGGAGCAAAGGGAUUUGGUUUACACUAGCUACACCUAAAUACUCUGUGGUUGCGUGGAUUGCUGUCCAUAAUAGAUUGGCAACAGGAGACAGGAUUCAAAUCUGGAACCCACUUGCAGAUGCAACUUGCACUCUCUGCAAACUUCAGAAUGAGACAAGAAAUCACUUGUUCUUCACAUGCUCCUAUUCUAUGCUAAUAUGGAGGACGCUCACAAUGAAGUUGAUGGGGAACCGAUACUCCAGUAACUGGGAUGAUACUUUACAUAGUCUUACGGACACAACAUUGGACUGCAAUACUCUGCUCUUGCUACGGUCCGCUUUCCAGGCUGCUAUCCACUCAAUAUGGAGAGAGAAACGCUCGUCGUCACGGUGAGCCUUCUACAGAUCAGUUACUGCUAGCAAGGUACAUCGACAAACACAUCCGGAGCCGUAUUGAUUCCAUGCGUGGGAAACUACACAAGAAAUAUGACAAGGCUAUGCAGCUAUGGUUUGCAUCAAGAUGAUUCUUCUCUAGCAAAGUAGAAUAUUAGGCUUACAAAAACUCAAAAACAGCUGCAUUCAUUGUAAAAACGUUUUUUUUUGUUUUGAUUCCAAUUUAACAUUCAUUCAAAAAAAAAAAGACAAAGAUCCCUGUGAAUGCAGAUGCUUCUUGCCCUCCUGGAUGAAGCCAAUACUGGUUUAACCAUCGGAGAUGGAGGUGAUGACUCAGAGUCUGAAGAUAACAAAUACAGUAGAAAUAGCCGAUCCUCUGCUCUUGAGCUUCUCAAGGAUGAAAACGAUGGCCUUAGUUAAAAUUCAGGGGCUAUGUGGCUGAGCUUUUAGUCAAUUUCAUGUUGCACGAAAGACACAGUACAUUCCCCUGCACUAAAUUCAGCGUUACAGGCUGCUGCAAGUGGUCCUCGGUCAGAGAGGAUGAAGCAGACACUUAAGAUAGCUCUUCGGCUUCUUGAUGUCUACGUUAGUGUUACGUUGCGAGAUGCAAAUGACUGUAAGAUUGUUUACAGCCUUCCUAGUGUUCUUAAGCUGCUAAAAUAGGAUAAGUCAGUCACCAACGCAGUUCGACCUUUAACCACUGUUGAGUCUGUUCAUGCUUAAAUUUCUUUUUUUCAAUGUUUAUCUUUUGGCAGCUCUGAUAUGUGCAUUAAUCCCUCUACUCAUGAGAAGAAACUCUACAAUGUUUCAGGAUAAGAACUUUUCUCAUGAGGUAACAUGCAGCUUUUGUUUUGUAUAAUAUGAUCUCCUUUUCUAAAUUUUUGUUUUGCGUAGGAUUAGGAGUGGCAGACCCACUUGAUGACUUAUGGGGUCAGUCGACACCACAAAAAUUUAAUUUGUUGGCUAUGAUCAUUUGUGGUGUAGUUGGUUUGAUACUGCAGUAGUGAACCCACAAAAGUGGGGUUUGGGUGUCUUCAGUGACAUCUUAGAACUUUUUUGACCCCACAUAAUUUUUUUCUUGGGACAUGCUACAUGACAAUGUCUCUUAAUAAUCUCCUCUGGAUCUGAAUGGAUCUUCUAUUGAUAUUCAACUGUUUUCAGAUAUCCCAAGGCUAUUUUGACCUUUUGGUGUAUGGACUGCGUACCUAUAUUACCGCCAUAUUGAGCCUUAUCUAACAGAGAUACGGUAUGUUUAUGCAGAUUCGUUGGAGGGCUACUGGAGUUCUUGCUAGCAGCAUUUCAGAGGUCUCCGAAUUUCAUUCCGCUGUUGAAACUAAUGUCUUUGUUUUGUUUCCAUUACUUGGUUUGUGCUGGUAUCAGCAUUAUAAUUUUGAAUAAGAAGAUUUGACGCUGCAUUGGUUGAUAUGCUGAGUCAAAAAUCAGUCUAUCUAUCUUCAUGAUAGGUUACAUAUUCUUUUGAUUACAGCUUAUUCUCUUAAAGUAUGAAUUUUCUGAAACUUGUUGUGACUUCUUUCGUAAUGCAGAAGCCUAUAAUUGACACGCCUGGAGAAGCUAGCGAUGACCCUGCUAAGGUCAGUUUCUAAUAUUUACACGGAUGCUUUGUAAUACUAUCUCCUCUAAACAUUUGCGUCCAUAGAGAGCUAGCUUUACAGCUAUGUUGGACAACUGGAGAGUAUGGUGGUGAGGGAGAAUCAUAAAAGGAUGCUGCUCGCGAGCUCUUUGAAAGCUUAGAGUUGAUUUCUAUAUGAGAAUCUCUCACUCAUCAAGGUAUUAUUAACUUCUUUUGUUACUUAUCACCCUGCCUUUCUCGGCAAGAAAACAAAAAUUGGUACUUACAACAACACAUCUCAUUGCACAUUCUAACUGAACAAGGAGGUUAAAGAGUUAUUCUAUUAAUCUACUCUCUUAACACUUAAUUGAUUCAACUUGACUUAGAUGAUAAUCUUGUGACCAAAAAAAAGAUUUAGAUGAUGAUGUUGCUUGCAAGAGAUUAUCCAUAUUUGGACUUAUCUCUCCCGGUUAGACCCGGUUUCGUGUAUACAACUGCAGAUACAUGUACCAAAAGAUGUAGGUAGAGUUAUUUGUGAGGGAGCAUAGAGGUGAAAAACUGGUAGAGAGGGGAGAAAGAUUGCAUACAAAGAAAGUAAAGAUGGGAAUAUGAUUUGAUGUAAAGCCUGUGAGGACGUUUCCUUGUGACAGACACGACGCGUCUAUAUCCGGUCCAUUCGUUUCUUCUUUGGACAUUGAUGGAUGGAUGUGAUUGCUUCUUAUUGAUUUGAUGCAUCCAUAUGGUCUUCCUUUUUCUUUUACGCGUCUUUUUUUCUUGUUCCUUGUAAUAAAGCCUUAACGCGUAUUGAAUUUUUCGUAACAAGAAUCUUAUUCACA